GUUGUUACUAAAAGAAACAAUUCCAACAUUAAUUAUUCGAACAAACAAAGUUUAAUUAAAAUGAACUCAAUUUUGAAACGUAUGCUCACUUCUGCAAAUUCAACCAGUUCAAAACUUUUAAAUCUUUUAAGCCUUGUUGCGGUAUUUCAGUGAACUCAUUGUAACCAAGGUCUAGAGACGCCAGCGAUGACGCCAUCGAACUGGAAGAGAAUUAACCAAAAUUGUUAAAUUUCUGUACCGCGAUGCAAGACAUGUGAGCAGUUCUGCAAGAGCAGAGCGGGCUACCCGUACAGGGCUCCAGUUUCUCUGGCGCCAGUGCACCCACCAAAAGGCAUGCCAACAGCACCGCCACGUGUAGCGCCCACCGCGCACUGCCAUCUCCCAACACCAUCACUAGAAACAAAUCACUAGUAAAAAAGGUUUUUCGAUAAUGUAUACAUCUGAACAAGAACAAGAUUGCUGUAGAAGAUCAACUGUGUUUACAGUUCUCCUGGUUGUAGAAUUGCUGGUUUUUUAAAUAAGUAAUAUUAAAAAAGUUAUUAUGAUAA
Molecule: long non-coding RNA, 548 nt
Organism: Bombyx mori (domestic silkworm)
Lineage: Eukaryota; Metazoa; Arthropoda; Insecta; Lepidoptera; Bombycidae
Exons: 2
Source: RefSeq, a predicted model, not a curated record